CUUUGGUGGUCGGCUGUGCUGGUAAAUCACUUGGGUGGAGGUAGCCAAAACAUGGGUGGAGCGGUGCUGGGCCAACGUGGGCAGUAGCUGUUGGUUCCAUGAGAAUUGGUCAGAACGGUGGCUCCUCCCGUGGAAUAAUCGAGAUGGCCCAUCCUAUUCUUCUCUCCCCAAUCUCCACCAUGUCUUGUAUCGUCCAAUGAAUAUCUCCACACAAUUUCUACAACUUGAGUGGAGGUCGUCGGCGAUGAGACGUCCAGCCAUGUUCAUCCCGGACCUGGCCGCCCCUACCGCUCCAUGCUCGAGUUCCCUCCUCGACGCAGCAACUCAUCCUUCCGACGAACAGCUGCCGCCAUGCUCCCCGCCGCCUCUGGCCGGCGCGGCUCCCCAAGUACGAAUAUGCCUUGCUCCUGUCUCCGGCCACUUCUCGCAGGCGGGAGCCUCACCAGCACACCGCUCAGCCCCUUCUCCACUCGUUUGACGCCACCUGCGCGCGGAUGCACCGCCGCCGUCUCCGGGCUCUACCUCCGCGUCCAUGCAAAAAAUUGUGGUGCCAUGUAGUUCCAGCUGCUGGAUAUGGUUCACCCUCGAGUGGUGCAGAUACACAAGGUUAUUAAGAGAGUUUUGAUGUCUCACGUUGGGUUUAGAGUUCGGUGCCUUAGAUCACCAUGAUGCCUAUUUCUGGGGUGUUCUGUACGUGGUCUUGAUGCAAAGACAGAGAACAAUAUGGUCCGUAACUACAAGGUUCUCUAGGAUGUCUUCAACAAGCUGGAGACAAGAAAGAGAGCCCUUUUGUAGAAGGAUAGAACUGAUAUCUAAGCAACUCAGAUGUUUUUAGAGUCCAGUGAAGAGUGCUUCUCUUCCUAGAUUUCCCUGCCGAGCAAUGGUCAUGAUUUCACCACAAAGCUGAACUUCUAGGCGUGAUAAGGUACUUCCCUAGGAAGGCUACAGGGGUUACAAACAGGUCAUUCAGCGAACUGCUCUCGAGACAUCUUACUUCCUUAAAAAUGAUUGCUUGAAGAUAUAUUGCACUCUAGGUAUUGUUGUGUCAACUAUUGAUUACUCCAGGCCACACUCCAUUCAGGUACCAAACUUCAACAUUACCUACCGGUAAGGCAUCAUCAUUUAGCGUUGGCAAGGAGCGCCAUAUAUGUUUAAGUGCAGUUGCUCUCAAAAAAUCCAUAUAUGUUCAAAUGCAGAUCCUCUCAAAAAAAUCAGUAGGUAUAUAUAGUGCCGUAUGCUAUUCUUAUGUUUUAGUCUGGCAUGUAUGUGGAUCCAGAAUUAGAGCAGACUGCAUCUAUGUGUGGUUUAUUAUAUGCGUAGCAUUGGAUGUUUGUAGUUCAUAGUCUUGAUCAGAUUUGACAAUUAAUUAUUCUUACAUGCUAUGAAAUUUGAAAUCUAACUGUGUUAUAUCAAAUCCAAGGACCAAUGCAGUAUGCGGAAGAAAAGAAUCAUGCAUCAGUUGACCUUGGUACUAAGCAGCAAGAGGUAGAGAGAGGUAACCCAAUCAGGAAGAAAAGAAUCAUGCCGAUUUGCAAACGAAUCAUGCAUCAGUUGAGCUUAGUACUAAACACAUAAAGUAAAUUUUGUACAUGCCGGUUUGAAAAAGUAUAAAGGAAACACGUGCAGUAAAUUUUGUACAUGCCAGUUUGCAAAAGUUUUAGUACUGAUGGUAACCCAAUCUGGCCUAUUUUGUUCUCUUAAGCAAUUAGAGAGUUUGGAAGCACAUCUAGCUAGCUUAGGUUUCCACGAAAAUGAUCCAGUCACCGUGGGUAUUAAUUCCAGCGGAGGGUUCCCUUUGUGCAUCAUUAUAUCACAUAUAAGUUAUGCAUUGUGUCUAAGGUAUGCCACUGAAAUGUUUUCAAGCAUUAUCAUUUUAUAACAUGAUUUGGCAUGGUACAAGACACUUCUUUCCCUAACGGUAAAACAAUAGUGUGAAUGUCAUUGUUUCAGUUGUAGGUGAGGCAUUGCACGACUUGAUCCUUUAUCACCUUGGUUAUGUAUAUUUUCUCUUUUGUUUCUCCUUUCUUCAUAUUUUUCCUCUUCUCUAUUUAUUUAUCAAAUCAAGUUGUUUCAGUUCUUAACUUUCAUUUAGAUUAAGCAAAAUACAUCUUCUCACCGCAUUGUCUAGCUUGUGAUUUUGAUUUAUGAGUAUCGAUGCUAAAACUGUUGGAAGAAUAAUCAUGCAAACGUCCAUGCUGAAAGAUUUCUCACCUCCAUGAUGCCAAUAAUGUGUUGUUUGCAUGAAUACAUGGUUCAAACAACUCAACAACAGCCAUACAAUCUAGACAUUAUUGUCGAUGACCAAGAGGUAUCUUCUGAAAACUAGAACCUUGGCUUGCUUAUUGUCAAAAACAAUAUGUAACCAUCUACAUCUUCACUUGGUUAUUUAUAAUAAUUCAGCUUUAUGCAUCCUACUUUCUGUGCCAUGCUAUCAUAAUAAAAUAAGCUAACUUUAUCCUCAUUUUAUUAUAGGCAUGCAACACUCUAUCCAUGUCCAAACAGAGGCCAAGUUAAUAACGUCAUAUGCCUCCGCACUACACUUGCGAAUUGUAUUUCUACAUUGUUUCUAGAUACCCUAUUUCCAUGAAAUGGUUGGGGCCUUGAUUUGAAUAGGCGAGCUCAUGCUAGAGACCAAAGAAAAAAUCACAUAUCAGGCAUACCCUGAGGAGUCGGUCCAGUUGAAACUUAGAUACCAAAGCCAUGCAAGCCGUCUAUGCUUCCUACCAGAAAGAAGUAGACACAGAAGGAAGGAGAGCGUCUUCUCGACUGGAUAGAUGUCAGCUGCCCAAAUGAUGCCGAAGCCGAGCCUUCCUCAAGGAGGUCACAUGUGGUGAUGUUCCUUAACAUAAUAGGCAAAUGCAUGGAAAUCAUCGUCCUAUCCCUUGAUUGCAAGGACAACUUGACAAGUACUCAUGGUUUUGCAAGUAGAAAGAAUCAAAUAAUCAUCC
Molecule: non-coding RNA, 2948 nt
Organism: Lolium perenne
Lineage: Eukaryota; Viridiplantae; Streptophyta; Magnoliopsida; Poales; Poaceae
Source: RefSeq, a predicted model, not a curated record